This 71-nucleotide transfer RNA is filed under the name Alosa alosa (allis shad). RNAcentral's name for it is "tRNA-OTHER". It matches the Rfam family "tRNA". Rfam says of the family: Transfer RNA (tRNA) molecules are approximately 80 nucleotides in length. The record is from RNAcentral. Lineage: Eukaryota; Metazoa; Chordata; Actinopteri; Clupeiformes; Clupeidae.
GCAUUGGUGGUUCAGUGGUAGAAUUCUCGCCUGCCACGCUGGAGGCCCGGGUUCGACUCCCCGGCCACGCA